This 660-nucleotide ribosomal RNA is filed under the name Triticum aestivum (bread wheat). Its description in RNAcentral is "partial small subunit ribosomal RNA". The record is from RNAcentral. Lineage: Eukaryota; Viridiplantae; Streptophyta; Magnoliopsida; Poales; Poaceae.
AUGCGAGUUAUUCAUCAAUUCAGCAACCUACAAACGUCCAACCUACACUGGCUGAACUCGACAAAUAUUGUCUUGCUCCCCAAGAAGGAUGGGGCAGAAGAGAUUGGGGACUUCCGCUCCUUCAGCCUCAUUCACGCUAUCGCCAAGAUCAUUGCCAAGAUGUUGUCUGUUCGUCUUGCCCCAUUCAUGAACAACUUGGUCUCCAACGCGCAAAGUGCUUUCAUAAAAAAAAAAGCAUCCAUGAUAACUUCAUGUACGUCAGAAACCUUGCACGACGACUACACCGAAACAAGACCCCAUCCUUGCUUUUCAAGUUGGACAUUCGGAAGGCCUUCGACUCGGUGCGAUGGGAAUAUAUCUUGGACCUGCUUCGUCGCUUGGGCUUUCCGGACCGCUUUCGGGAUUGGAUUGCUGCCCUUUUCUGCACCUCAUCGUCACGCGUUCUUCUCAACGGUAUUGUCGGGCCCCCGAUCCUCCAUGGUUGUGGACUUAGGCAGGGAGACCCUCUCUCUCCCUUGCUUUUCGUCAUCGCAAUCGACACGCUGCAGCAGAUCCUCGAUGUCGCGACGAACCACAACCUCCUACACAAGCUUCGAGGGAGGGGAUCGCAUGUUCGGACCUCCCUCUAUGCUGAUGACGCGGCGAUUUUCAUCUCGCUGA